CCCACGAACCGCGAGAUCACGACCUGAGCCAAAGUUGAACGCUUAACUGACUGAAACACCCAGGCGCCCCCCCAGCCAGGUGAUUUCAAUGCAACCGUGUGUAUCGCGGAUGUUGUUAUCGAUAAAUAACAUCUGCCUUCUGGUACAUCAAAACUGAUGUUUAUUGAAUGAUAAUAUAUUAACCAUUAAUACUAAUACUAUGAUGUUAAUUAUCCACGCUAUUAUGCUGUUUAUUGUUGUUAUUACAGCCCUCAAUAUUUAAUAUACCUUACUUCCCAAAUGUAAAGUUUAUUUACAGUCAAAGAAGUAUGGGGUUUACUGCUGUGUUGUCUUUUGAAUGUGUGCUCUGAGCACAGGCCCAGGACAUUUGCCGUUCUGGCGGCCGCUGCCCCUGCCUGGUCAUGACAUUGGCUCGGUCUGUGGAGCAUUCGUGUGCACUCAGCCACCGGUGGCAAAGCGAACGGCCAUAAAUCAAAGCAAAUCAAUGCACAAAUGCAGAAUUCAAGUGGUAAAAAUCAAGAGUUAGUUAUUGAAAUCCUGGCAGGUACGUGUUUUGUGUUUCAGGAGGAGUAUAAACUUUCCUUCCAUCUGUGAAGUUCAUGUUCCACUGUUGGGCAUUAACACUAUGAUGACAGAGCAGUUUAUUAAUUCAAAAUUGUCAGAUAUGGGCCAGGAUUUCAAGUACAGUAAGAGUUUGCUAGUGGGAUGGAAUCCAAGAGAGAGUCCUUUUGGGUUUUUUUUUUUUUUUUUUUUUUUUUGGUAAUUUUUUUUUGGGAAAGAGUCCUUUUCUAAAAUGCAAAAAAAAAGAAAAUAAUAAAGAGGAAACUUGACAAUUUAUUGUUCCUAAUAUAUGUCAGGGAACCAGAUACACUCUGGUCGGCUGUGCUAGGGUGUAAAAUGGACCCUUGGUGAAGUUCCAGAAGAACUGUUUGGUUAAGGUGCCGUUGAAAACAGCAGGUUGGCACGGGGGUCCAGAGCUCCUUGGACACGGUGGCCGUUGUCGUUGCCGGGGCUUAAUUACGGUUCUGCUCCCCUCGAGUCUGCGUGGAUGUCACAGAUGCAGUUCACACUACACGGGCUCUUUAUUCGUGUAAUAGUGAGAGCAUAUUUAUUUGUCUUGAGUAUUUCACAAGUGUCCUCUUUGGAUAAUACCGGCAAGAUUAAGUAAGAGUUUCUCGCUAACACUGUUGCUCAAGAACAUCAAACACGAUGGGCUGAGAGUGGAUGGAUGACGCGUACGUCUUUGGCUCCUGGCGUCUUUGAUUUCUUUUUUUUUUGCUUCCCUUUUCUUACGUAUAAAAUAAUCUUAUUGUGGGGCCAUGGCUAUUGUUUCUAACACAAAUGCCAGGAACCACUUAGCAAAAUAUUUUAUUUCAACUUUAAUGGGUAGUUUUGGUAACGAUCAAGAGUGACGCGUUCAAGUCAGCCACAACACGGAGCCACAAACCAAGGACUUCAAAGAGAGUUCUUUUUAGAACUCUGAAGGAACUGCAAUUUCUAUUUCUACUUCUCCACAUUAUCCAACUUAAUUAUUGGCAAUAAGUGGCUGUUGGCAGGAAGCACACAUCACGUGGCUCCAGUUCUGCUUUGGAAAAGGUCAGCAAGAGGCAGAAACGCUGGGCUCCGAUCCCCGGACACGUGCUCCAGAGCCCAUUAUGCAAUGUUGCCCUCACUGAUUAAUGGCCGCUUGCACAAGAAGUUUCUCAUUACCCCAGAUGCAAGCAUCCUGGGAAUGAUUAACUUUGUGACAUAACUCUCCACACACAACUACGAAAGAUUCACACAGAGCUUCAAAAUAAUGUGCUUCAGAAAUAACCCAAUGUGUUUCGGCUUCUUAAUGUGUGCAUGAUUAACAACUGCUUUACGGCCACUGAGUGAAACGGAGAAACCUAGUGGGGAGGUUUUUGUUCUGUUUUGUCUUGUUUGUUUGUUUGGAGGAGUAGGAGUUUCCUGAGACUGGUUCACGUACGAGCCGUCCUAUUUUAACUUUACCUUCACGUAUUCUAAUUUGCUGUGGAAAGCGCAGGUCUGUUUUACAGAGCUCCGUCCUAUGAACUAAAUAUUGGCGGUACAGUUGCUUUUAUUCAACACUUUUUGGGCCAGAGGGACAGAACGCUCAUACGCCCACGCACGAUGGAGAGUUAGUGUGACGGUUGGUACUGAUUUCCUAGGGCCAAAAAGAUAAAGUUUAAUUCUGCAUCUUGUUAAGUAUUUUCAAAUCUUACCCAGUAGAGUGCAGUCUGAAAUGCUUGGCGUAAUGGGACUUUUGUUGUAAGUGGCAGGAAAUCAACCAGAGUGGCUUAGGUGAAGGGGAGCUUUGUGACUCUCAGCAUGGAAGCCAGGCGAGACAGGGGAGUGGCGUCCUUGGAUGCCGCUGGAGCCAGGGUCUCCGGGCUGCAGGGACACACUCCGUUUCUUGUCACACAUUGUCUGGCUUGUAGCUUCGUCCCCUGGACCUGGUCUCAUAGACUGGCUUCCCUGAUGGCAGCUCCCCACUGCCUGGCUCACCACCAGGGAGGAAGGGGAACUCUCUUCACUCAGCACCGACUCAGAAUCCCCCAGGAGAGGCCUCUGCUGGGUGAAGUAGACCACAUGGCCUCCCUGUGGCUGUGGGAGUAGGCACUGUGAUUGGAGGGUGACUUUUCCAACAGAAGGGAGGGCUGCCGUUCUGGCCGGAAAAUUCAUAGCAGCCAUGAUGGCCAACCUUGACCCAACCAGCCAUCCUUACCCCCAUGGGCCCCCGAGUCGUGCGAGGCAUCCCUCCCUGCGUGUCCACAAACGCAAAUGUUUGCCCUGAGCCCAGCUCUAAGCGCACGCCCCCGGGGCUCAUCUACCGGCUCGGGGCCAGGCGUCGCUCUGCACGACCAGGUAGACGGUGGCCUCCAUGCUGUUCAGCCAUCCCAGCACAUCGUGCCAGGGAGGGAGGGAACCUUUUGGAAACGGGGAUGAAGCACAAUGAGCUCUCUGGUCCCCAAAUCCCCCGUGUCAGAGGAAGGGACGUGACAGGGCCAGUGGAUGUCAGACGUGCACGGUUGACCUACUUUCCCGUAGCCAAUCUCGGCACCCAGGCUCCCGCUGAUCAGGUUUCCCCUGAAGGAUCACUGGAGAGACCUUUGUGGGGAUCUUUCCGCCUCACUGGUUCGCUUUUGUUGCUGCCCUUGUAGAGGGUCCUGGAACUUGUCGUGGGCUGAGGAUCCCCUUGCAGCCGCAUCUGGCUGGCUAGUGCAGGGGUGUCAGUCCGUCGUCCGACAUCCAAGGACACGAUCCUUCUCAAAUUCCUAGUUGUGACUCUGGACUGGGAGGGACUAAAGGGCUUCGCCGCUUAGCAGCGUGCUUUGCCAUUGGGCCGUCUUUAGACCUCGGCUUAGGGGCACCGGCCUUCGUGCAGCGGGACCUAGAGGGCUUGGGGAGGUUCCUGCUGUGCCCCAGCGUGCGGCCGUGUCCGCAAGGGCCUACGCUAGCCGAGGAGUACCGAUGCGGCCCGCCUGGGGGGGCGGGGUCAGCCGGUGCAGGGGCCUGGUCAGGGUGAGACUCCAGGCCCGUGUUGCAUCUUUUUAUGUGGCAACUGACACAAACCCGGCCUAAAGUGAGCCAGACCGCCGGAGGGAAUCCGCCGACCGGCCGGCGCCAGGACCAACCAGACCCGCUGUCCCGUCUUCCACCAGCUCUGCCUCUCAGGACGUGCUCCCUGGCAGUGCCCAGCUUGCGUCUUCCGGAGCCUUCCCAUCACGGAGCGGGGCGUCUUCCCUCCGCUCCGCCCGGCGGUACUUGGGGAAGGACUUGGGCCCCGUGGCCGGGGCUGAGGACUCCAGGCUUGGAGUGGAGAGACCGGGUGGGAGGCAUCCAUUGCAUGCACGGACGGCCACGUGGAGUGGCCCCGCGCAGGUCUCUGCGCCCUUGUCUCUAGGUUACUCGUGCAUUUGCCUGCUCCCCUUUGGACCUGCACUCGGGCUGGAACUCCCGGGAAACCACUCGGUGUUGGCGGGCCCCCUCGAAUCCGCGUUGCCACCGACUGAACCAGCGCGCGGGCCGCAGGCUUUUCCCAAAUUUGUAAGAGUUGUGUUGAGCGGUGCUGGUUCCCCUCGCGCCACCACCCGAGCCACGUUUGUGAUUUAUCCUUUUGUUUUCUCAGAGGGUAAGAAACGUCCGGUUCUUCUCACGUAGGGCCACUCAGAGGACGUGCGUGUGCGCCAAGAGGCACCGUUUUCUCUCAUCCGCGGAGCAAGCAGUUCUCCAGUUUCCUCCUGCCCAAUGGGCAGGGGACACCAGGCGGCUUUUCCUAAAUACCACAUCUUGUUCCCUAAAGAACACUUGCAGAGAGGGUGACGCUUGGGCCUCUUUUUUCUGAACAGUAUACACGACGCGGCGCCUCCGUUGGAAGUGAGCGCUCGCUGCCUGUGACGUCGUUGGAGUGCCCCCUCCACACGCCGUGGACACAAAAUGCCCCUUUGUUCUCGUCCGUGGGGACAGCCGCGAGCGGCCAGGCGCGCCCACCCCGGACCCCGUGAGCUGGGGCUCGCCGCUCAGAACAGAUGGCGAUUCUCAAACCGAAUGCUAUUCCGAUGCACGCUCACUGAGGACAAAGAUCUAAAAAUAGACUUGAAUGGGCAUAACCUGCAAAAA
Long non-coding RNA from Lynx canadensis (Canada lynx), 4623 nucleotides. RefSeq lists it as uncharacterized. Lineage: Eukaryota; Metazoa; Chordata; Mammalia; Carnivora; Felidae. The transcript is spliced from 2 exons. The record is from RefSeq and is a predicted model, not a curated record.